UGUUACGAUAUAGAAGCAAUGCGGCCGCGAGCUGGUAGCUUGAAAGCAAAACAUAAUGGGAAUGUUGGGACUGUUCCGUGGGAAACAGAGGGACAGUCUAUUCACAGUGCGAAGCACCGGAAUUAGCUCAGAGUGUAAUAUGAGCUGUACAGGAAGUACAGGAGGAGUUUGUCUCUCGACUGCUGAAGCUUGAAGAGAGCAGACAUGAUUUUUGUAACACUGCAAAGACAGAAAUAAAGGCAUGUAACUACGUCUCUGUCUAUCUCUCUCCCCUGCCCAGGGGGGGCAGGAAAGAGGGGGGGUGUUCUUCUCACGCUGAGGAGGAUCGCCUAUCGCGACCUAGCCUGGAUCCUGCCGGGAAUGCAGACAGGGAGGUCAACAGGAGAUCAAGCCGGGUGCCUGGAGAGUGGCCAGUUUCUCCUGAUAAAUGAUUUAAUCCCAACAUAUGGUAGCACGGAGCCGAUGGUUUUGAUCCAUGAAAGCAACAAGAGAGGUUGAUGGAUCGUACUUCAUCCUCUGCAAGGAGAUAAAGAAAGAAUGUGGUAGCGGGCGGAUGGAAGCUACAAGGACGGCUGAGCACCGGAGGAGGUGUUUUUUGCUGAGCAACGGAUUCCCUCCAGGUAUGGUGAUUUUAUGGCUGUGAGAGUGAACGCGAAUUGAAGCAUUCUUCGGUUCACUGAGUGUCUGCUUUUGGAUGAAACCAGCACUGAGAGAAAUAGCCUGCAUAUUUCGCAUUCCUGGGGUUGAUAAGGGUUGCUGCUCAAGCCUGGAAUGUCCAGUUGCUAAGCAACGAAACGUCAGUAAGGUGGAAAGUUACUGGCCAACACGGAAGUAAGGCUGAGCACUGUGAGAGACUGGAAAAACACUGAGAAAACAGAGUUUGUUUUGUCUAUUAUCUCACUGCUCUUGGAGGGACUUUCAAAACAGCCUGUGUUUAGCUGCCAAGUGUGAGGCAGUAAACAGCCAAUAGACUUUUGGAGUUUACAGGCUCGAGAGUGAGAGCUGAGGCUUGGAUUCAAAAUGGAUACCAAGAAGGGGGGAGGCUUACCUUACCCACCUCCACUGACUAAUGACAAUUAUUCCUCAUGGUCUGUAAAGAUGAAAGCCCUGCUUCAGAAUCAGAGGAUUUUUGGGGUGAUUGAUAACCCCAUCCCUGCUGCACCAACGCCAGGUUGGAAUUCACAGAAUGUGAGAGCCAGGACGGCCAUAAUUCUGUGUAUCUCGGAUGAUCAGCUCGUGCAUAUUCAGCAUUUGGAAUACGCGCGUGAGAUUUGGCAUACGCUGCGUAGAAUACAUCAAAGAGAUGCUGGUUCUUCAGCGUUGCUGCAUUUUGAAAAGCUAACCAAUCUAAGGCUAGCGCCUGAUGGAGAUGUACAAGCGCAUCUGACAGAGAUGAAAUUCUUACGCCAGCAGAUGGCGGAACGCAAUUUCCCUCUACAGGAAGAGAUAUUCUGCUUCAUGAUUAUUAACAGCCUUAAUCGGACUUACAAAACGGUUGCAAGUCAGCUUGGUUCUCUACCUGCCGCAGAUCUUUCGACGGAGAGAAUUUGUGCCGUGAUUCUCAAUGAGAAAGACAGACUUGCUGCAAUAGAUGUCAAAGACAGGGGGAGAGAAGCUCGGAGUUCAAGCACCCCCGCUGCUAUUGCUAGUGAAGAACAGGCUGUUGCUUUGAACGUUGUCCGUUGUUUCAAUUGUGGACAGACUGGGCAUCUUCAGCGGAAUUGUAAGAAGCCACGUCAACAGAAAGGAGCUAAGGGGAGCUCUGCAAAGCCUGAGGCAUCAGGCAAAAGUCGUACCAAGUCCCAGAUGAAACCUGCGAAGGCAUUGCUGUCAACAAAAGCCGCAUUUUCAAUGGAGAACGCUUUUAUUUUGGACACUGGAGCGACGCAACACAUGACGUCGCGGCUAGAUCUGUUUUCAACGUUUAAGAAGCAAAGCUUCACUGUGAAACAAGCCAACGGUCAGGAGCUGGAAGCGACUGGGUUUGGAACUGUGUAUCUUGAGAGUCUGAACUUGACUAUAAACAAUGUGUAUUUGGUUCCUGAUUUAAAGUUCAAUCUGCUGAGUGUUUCGCAGAUCACAAAGAAAGGACUGACUUUGUCCUAUGAUAGAGAAAGCUGCAAAAUCUUCAAAGAUGGAGAGCUGUAUCUUUCUGCCAGAGAGAAAGAUGGACUGUAUUUGUUGACUUUUGAUCAAAGUGAUUGCAUAAAUUGUAAUGCAUCUGAUUCCAACAUGAUUUCUCUCGCAGGUGUGUCGAAAAACGUCCAGAAGACGACGCAAGUAACCAAAGCUUUUCAGCGAGUGUAUGCUGAUGUGAUUGGUCCUCUAGCACCGUCUAGAGGCAAUGCAAGAUAUUAUCUUGUGUGUGUGGAUUAUUUCUCUCAUUAUGUGUGGAUACAUAUAUUGCAGAAACCACAAGAAGCCUUAGAAAGGUUUAAAGAGUUUUGUGACAAGGUUAAGGAUGUUCAUAAUGCUAACAUUGAUUGUCUUUUCACAGAUGAAAAGCCAGUUUUUCUUUUGCAGGAUUUUCAGGAUUUCCUGGAUAAGAAAGGGAUAAGGCACAAGACUGCUGUUUCUGCAGAAGCAUGGAACAGAAGUGUCUGUGUGCAAGUGAACAAAGAAUUGCAAAAUGGCAUGAAGGCGCAAUUGCUGAGUUCACAUUUGCCACAUUAAUAUUGGGCAGAAUCGUUAAUGUGUUUUUGUUACAGUUGGGUGAGAAAGGUUUCAAAAGGUUUAGGAAGUUCUCCUUUUGAAAAGCUAUUCCACAGAAAACCUUCUGUUGCCCAUUUUAAGGUUUUUGGGUCUCAUGUAAAGACUGAAGCUCCAGGUGGAGUAAAGAAUGCUAGAGGCAUUUUUGUGGGUUAUGAAAAGGGUCUCUACAGAGUAAUUUUGUCUGAAUCUGGUCAGGUGGUUCUCACAAAAUUUCUAGAGAGUGCUCCUGAACAGGAGAAAGUAAUUGUUCACACAUUUCCCACUGAGGACAAUUCAGAUGAUGAUGAUGAUUUUACUGAUUACAGUGGUACUAAAAAUGACAGUGAUAGCUCAAAGAGCUCAGUUGACACAGUCAUUGAGAGGAAAUCUCACACAAUGGAUAGACCUUCACAGGUGAAGGAUGAACCACUGUUUACUAUUGGAACUGGUUCUCCAAAGAGUCCUGAGACUGAACCAGUGAGCAGAGAGGAUCAGCACCUCAUACGCAGGUCCGAGAGAGUUACAAAGGGUGUACCACCCAAGAGGUAUUCAAAAGAGUUUGCUAACUCAGCUGUAGCAUGUGUUACUAUUGUUGACAACUCAAGACAGGUUGAAGCUGUGUCUAAGUCAGAGACAAAGACACAACAGAGAGUUGCUAAGCGUAACACUACAUUCCCUAGCCAAGGUAAUGCAGAUGCACUCAUUCCUUGGAAGACAGACAACCAGAGAGGUACACUGGGGAAACCAGUGGCGGGUAGUUCCAAGGGUGGAACUGAAACAACAGGGGAGUGUUAUAUGUAUAACAACUGUUUGUUUUCUUCUCUGGAUCAUGCUUUGCUCGCAGCGCACAUUGAUUCAUAUGGGGGAGUAUGUUACGAUAUAGAAGCAAUGCGGCCGCGAGCUGGUAGCUUGAAAGCAAAACAUAAUGGGAAUGUUGGGACUGUUCCGUGGGAAACAGAGGGACAGUCUAUUCACAGUGCGAAGCACCGGAAUUAGCUCAGAGUGUAAUAUGAGCUGUACAGGAAGUACAGGAGGAGUUUGUCUCUCGACUGCUGAAGCUUGAAGAGAGCAGACAUGAUUUUUGUAACACUGCAAAGACAGAAAUAAAGGCAUGUAAAUACGUUUCUGUCUAUCUCUCUCCCCUGCCCAGGGGGGGCAGGACAGAGGGGGGGGUGUUCUUCUCACGCUGAGGAGGAUCGCCUAUCGCGACCUAGCCUGGAUCCUGCCGGGAAUGCAGACAGGGAGGUCAACAGGAGAUCAAGCCGGGUGCCUGGAGAGUGGCCAGUUUCUCCUGAUAAAGGCUUGAAUCCCAACACAAU
RNAcentral lists this long non-coding RNA (4010 nucleotides) under Podarcis lilfordi (Lilford's wall lizard). The record is from RNAcentral. Lineage: Eukaryota; Metazoa; Chordata; Lepidosauria; Squamata; Lacertidae.